This 263-nucleotide long non-coding RNA is filed under the name Phoenix dactylifera (date palm). RNAcentral describes it as "long non-coding RNA (PDAC_LNC004296)". Lineage: Eukaryota; Viridiplantae; Streptophyta; Magnoliopsida; Arecales; Arecaceae. The record is from RNAcentral.
AUUUGGCUACGUCUAAAGGGUGACGAAGAAGGACCAUCUUAAGUUUGUGGCAUGCGGCACAUCUAAUGGCGGACCCUUCCACUUUUGAGUCCAUCAAAAAGGCAACGUAUUAUUAGCUGUGACAAUCUGACGAGGGCUCUGCCACUGUUUGCUCCUGCAAAAUAGUGACGACUAAUUAAUCCCCAAGUAUUUGAUUUGUUCUUUCAGUAUCAAAAGAAAGUGCAGCAACCUACCAAAUGCAUGCCUUCUAAAGAUACAAAAAG